UGCCAGCCGCCGCGGUAAUACGGAGGGUGCAAGCGUUAAUCGGAAUUACUGGGCGUAAAGCGCGCGUAGGUGGUUUAGUAAGUUGUCUGUGAAAGCCCCGGGCUCAACCUGGGAAAGCCAGGCAAAACUACUAGACUAGAGUAUGGGAGAGGGUAGUGGAAUUUCCAGUGUAGCGGUGAAAUGCGUAGAGAUUGGAAGGAACACCAGUGGCGAAGGCGGCUACCUGGCCCAAUACUGACACUGAGGUGCGAAAGCGUGGGGAGCAAACAGGAUUAGAUA
Molecule: ribosomal RNA, 279 nt
Filed under: uncultured bacterium
Lineage: Bacteria
Description: partial 16S ribosomal RNA
Rfam family: Bacterial small subunit ribosomal RNA
Source: RNAcentral